UUUUUUUUUUUUUAAAAAAAGGAACUCUAGGAGUUCCUGUCGGGGUGCAGUGGUUAACGAAUCCGACUAGGAACCAUGAGGUUGUGGGUUCAAUCCCUGGCCUUGCUCAUUGGGUUCAUUAACCACUGAGCCACAAAGGGAACUCCCAAUGUCCUAUUUAUGGGUUCCAGAAGAGGCCCCUGAACUUGAAGGAGACAGGCAGGGGCGGAGCAGAGUACAAUCCGUGCAUUUGUGCUCACGGCUCUGAUGUGGACAGCACUGACCUGAAAUUCACUUUGCCGCACCACAGAAACUCAGGCGAGGUUGUAAGUCCCCUCUACGACAAUAAAAUUUCUUUCCAAAAAAGAAAGAAACUGUACUUCCAGGAUGUAAAUUCCUCCUGGGAGCCCCCCUACCUGUCACAUUGGACGCCUUCUAGGAAGGUUUAUUGAAGAUGCAGAUACAUGAAUGAAUUAAACCGGCACUUCAACAAUCCAACGACAAAUUCCAAAAUGCCUCUCAGUCCAUGAAAACAUCUGGGUGAAACCAUACACCUUGGUUUGUAGGUUGGAAGGCUCAGCAAGAGACCGUCGGGAUGGUUUGUGGGGAGAGCUGAUGACAAGUCAAGAAUCAUUGAGGAGCUCUUCUCCCACCCCCCCCAAACAAGGACAACAAUAGGAGACACGUGUCCUGCUCCGGGCUCCUGCCAACCUAUUGAGACCCUUGGCACAGGGUCGAUUCACAUCUCCAGGCUUCUGUUGGCCUUUCUGGGGCCCAAAGGGGAAAUGAAGGCCCAGGGUAUCCUCUCUAAAGGGAUGGUUGCUAAAUAACCCCAGGAAGUGGAAGAAGACGCUUUUGUCAACGUGAAAAUCUACAUGGGCUGCAACUUUUUCACUUCUGCCUCUCUCGCUCUCAUUCUGCUCCUUCUCUCUUUGUUGAGCCAGGAUUCAUAAGCUGUGUGUGUGCCAGACUUAGGUUCUGGGUUUCCUGUGGCAUCCUGGCAACAAGCUUGGGUGGGAGGAAGGCAAUGCGAUGACCUGCAUUUUGGAGACGGAGAAACUGAGGCUCCGCACGGUAGGUCAUCCAUUCAAGGUCACUGAGCUCACACGGGAUGGAGGAGAAUUAGAAAUGGCCAUGGCUUUACUCCACGGCUGGGCUCUUAAAUUCUAUGCCACGGUUCUACCACAUACACUGGUCUCCUCUCUUCCGUGUCCUGGAAGUGAGUCCAGAAUAUUACCUCUCUCUAUAGUUCUGAAAAUCUAUUCGAUGAGGUCUGUGUUAAAUAAAACGCAGACUUUUGGGGGGGAGAGGUGGUCCCCUUUAUCUGUGUUGACACAACCAGAGGAAUAAGGAGGAGUAACAGCAACAACACUAAGAGCUGACACUUUUGCUGAGCGGGAUCAGGUGGCAGGCUGUAAAUAUGUGUGUAUCAUAUGUAUUUCAUUAUGUUUACAUAUGUAUGUCCACACACAAACAUCUACCCACACACACACACUUUCUUUUUUUCUCUAAUCUGUACUGCUGUUAAUAUUCUGAUCUCAUUACUAAGGAAACCAAGGCACAGAGACGCUAAAUAUCUCACUCGGGAUCCUAAGUGAUGAGCCAAGUUUCAGAUAUUGAGCUACUUGACCCAAACCCAUGGUGCUCCAAAGGAAAAAAAAAAAAAAUUAAAACAAAAUAAAAUACUUCCACAAUGUACACCAUUUCAGAACGCAGAUAACUGAUUCAAGCGCCUGGUUUUACUGAACCCGUAUGACAAUCCUGAGUAGCUAUUACUGAUAUCACGGUUGAGUGUUCGUACGACCCCUAUUUUAUGGAUGGUGGCAUCAGGGAGACUGGUCCGGGUGACUACAGCCAAGGGCAGGUGGAACUGGGACAAAAAACAGCCCUCAGACCUGGACCCACGGCAUCCCAUUGCCUCCACCCUCCUUGAUGCAGGAAAGAUUGUGCCUGCACGGUGGAUCUGUGAACUAGAGACAUUCAUAUGACACAGGGCUGCUCCUACUGAGGUUCUCAGAACCGACAGCGUCCACCCUGAACAGACAGACGGGAGCUCAUUUGGAUGUUUUCAGCCUCACGUGUUUACAGUGCCCACCCUUGCCCCCCAACAGCUCCUUUGCCAAGUGAAUUCAGACAAUGUUCUACAUGCCAGUUUUCUCACCACAAACGGGAAGAGAUUUACAAGGCACCUGCAGCAGCCACCGGUCACGGGGUUUUGCAGUCAGAAAUAAUUAGGCGUCAAAGCCAGCCCCAAAUCCCCAAGCUCCCCAGGAACACCUCCCAGUGCUAGGAAUAGAACGCCCCUCCUGAGCGGACCC
This 2297-nucleotide long non-coding RNA is filed under the name Sus scrofa (pig). RNAcentral's name for it is "lncRNA (ENSSSCG00025060050.1)". The record is from RNAcentral. Lineage: Eukaryota; Metazoa; Chordata; Mammalia; Artiodactyla; Suidae.